UUCGCCCUUAGAGUUUGAUCCUGGCUCAGAACGAACGCUGGCGGCAGGCUUAACACAUGCAAGUCGAACGCCCCUUUCGGGGGGAGUGGCAGACGGGUGAGUAACACGUGGGAACGUACCUCUUUGUUCGGAAUAACUCAUGGAAACGUGAGCUAAUACCGGAUACGCCCUUUUGGGGAAAGAUUUAUCGCAGAGAGAUCGGCCCGCGUCUGAUUAGCUAGUUGGUGAGGUAAUGGCUCACCAAGGCGACGAUCAGUAGCUGGUCUGAGAGGAUGAUCAGCCACACUGGGACUGAGACACGGCCCAGACUCCUACGGGAGGCAGCAGUGGGGAAUAUUGGACAAUGGGGGCAACCCUGAUCCAGCCAUGCCGCGUGAGUGAUGAAGGCCUUAGGGUUGUAAAGCUCUUUUAUCCGGGAAGAUAAUGACUGUACCGGAAGAAUAAGCCCCGGCUAACUUCGUGCCAGCAGCCGCGGUAAUACGAAGGGGGCUAGCGUUGUUCGGAAUCACUGGGCGUAAAGGGCGCGUAGGCGGACGAUUAAGUCAGGGGUGAAAUCCCGGGGCUCAACCUCGGAAUUGCCCUUGAUACUGGUUGUCUUGAGAUUGGAAGAGGUAAGUGGAAUUGCGAGUGUAGAGGUGAAAUUCGUAGAUAUUCGCAAGAACACCGGUGGCGAAGGCGACUUACUGGUCCAUAUCUGACGCUGAGGCGCGAAAGCGUGGGGAGCAAACAGGAUUAGAUACCCUGGUAGUCCACGCCGUAAAC
RNAcentral lists this ribosomal RNA (762 nucleotides) under uncultured bacterium. RNAcentral's name for it is "bacterial SSU rRNA". It matches the Rfam family "Bacterial small subunit ribosomal RNA", at positions 1 to 807 of the family's 1533-position model. The record is from RNAcentral.